GAAAGACCAGAAACCAACACCAGAGAACUCCAACAGGCUGUGAAAGGGAAGUAAGUCCAGAAGGAGCCAUGCCACAAGGGCCUCUGGCAGCCCCUUGUCACCAUGCAGCAUCUGAGGCAACCUCUUUCUCAGCCUCUUCCCCCAUCACACAGGCAGCAACUCCACCACUGUGCCUGCCACCUGGCCCGCCGCUUCUUUGAGUGCCUCAGCCAUUGGUAAGUCCCAGCAACAGAGGGCUUGUCUAGGUGGCCCCAACUCAAUGAAUGGCGAGUGUGCUUUUAAUUAUUUGGGAUUACGUGGGCCUGACUGCGCAUUGUUCAGACUGCAUCUCAACGGGUGGUUGCAAGAACCGGCGGCAUGGAAACUAGCUGUGCAAAAAGAGGCAAAGCUAAGCCUCAGAAUGUGGAGGGAGUUCUUGCCUGGGAUUUUCAGUACAGCCUAGAGCCGGGCUUUUAUUUCAAAAACAUGUGGAUUCUGCUGAAAUCUAGUGAAGAAGGAAUUCCGUGUACACAGCCGGUAUUCUACUCAGGAGGCGGGGACUCAGGUCAGAGACGCUUCUUCUUGCAGGAGAUGGGAAUUGGCCCAGAGACCACAGCUGGGCAUGUGCAGAGAGUAGGAGACUGAAGAGCGGCUUUCCAAUGUGGCUGGUGUGGCUCUUGCGGCUUCUUAACCACUUUGCUCUCGGAUCCUUCCAAUACCUGUGGCAACAGAAAAGAUUAGCAAAUCUGCCCACCUUGACCAGCUGAUGUCAUCAACUGGGAGAGUUUGGGGAAACAGCUUUGAGAACGUGCUGUGGGAAACGGCAGGAAGGGAGAUCUGGGAUUGAGUCAGACAAGAGUCUGUGCUGAGAGACAGGAGACAAGCAGGACUCAUGGAGGGAUCUGGUCACUGCAAUCAUGGACCCAUCAAGUCAGAGGCCUCUGAGGAACUACGGCACCCCUCCUCCAACAAAGUUAUACAGGGUAUACAUUCUAUGCAGAAGGAUGCAGACCCCAGGAUGGCUCUUGGGAUGUGACAAAGGGCCACCUUUUGUUGCCCUCCAGAGAUAAAGGGGCCCUUGUAUGACUCAGCCCUUGGUAUUUUUAGGCUGACUCCAAUGGGGGUGGGGGUGUAGAAACCACAGUUUCUAUAAGCUGUGCUAAUUACAAGCACAAGGUGGGGCUAAGAUGGAGUCACAGGACCACAUCGACCAGCCCUCCUCCAUUUUAAUGACAGCCAGUCUGGGAUCUAAAGGUGGCUGUCCCUCCUGCUCUCCUUCACUCCCUGUCAUCUUCAGCACAGCUUUGUAAACUGCUGGUCACAACCCCAAAGGAGGGCACAAAAGAAUCUGGAAACAAUCUGAAGGGUUCUGAAUACAUAAAAAUUAAUUCAAAGUCGUUCUGGUCAGUGUCGGUUGGUGUUGCAUUCAGGGACGGCACAGCAUCCCUGGCUCAGAACAUAGAAUCCUGGCAUUUUGCACUGUACAUGGUCUCAUGCCACACAACAGCAGCAAACACUUCCUCAAACACCUCAGUUCAAGACUAUGGUGAAAACUGUAUAGAUUCCAAUGAGUUUUUUAAAGUAGUUACUUACUGGUUUUGUGUGUGUGUGAAUGUGUAUACACUUGAGGUCAGAGAACAAUCUUAGCAAGUCAGUUGUCUCCCUCCUCCACAUGGGACCCAGGGGAAAAGCCCAAGUCCCCAGGCAUGGAGGCUUUUGCAGGCUGAGCCCUCUCCCUACCGAAACUGCAAUGUUUAUCACUAGCAAUGUGCAACGCUUUCUGUUCUUACAGAAACGUGAUGGCUUCGUUAUGGAAAAACAAAGAUUUGCCGUAUUUCCUGUCCCUCACUGUGCGUACCAAUUUAGUGUGUCUGUGGAUUGUAAUGUGUUAGAAUGUUUGAUCCAAAAGUUGCUGUUUGAAUUGCUGACUUGAGUUUCAGCUUUUUUUUUAGAUUUUUAAAUGAAUUUUGGCAUGGGAUAAGGAUGGAAUUGCCAACAAUCUUCUAAAUGGCUGUAAACACACUCCUGCUUUAAAAAAAAACUAUAAUGGUAUAUGAAACAGCACUUCUCAGCCUUGAUGGUUAUAAAAUCAAAAUGUCAAUCAACUCUGCAAAACACAGAAGAUAGUGUGUCUUAUCAACUAUUCAGCCACGAUUUAAUCUUUACACAAAAAUACAAGUAUAUUCAUCUCAUUCACAUGCUUUUUGCCUUUAAUACAUGGUAAAAUUACAUUAAAGCAAAGAAAUGUUUGAGAAUAAAUUUAUUUAUGACAUAAUCAGUAAAUAUUUUAUCUUUCUACUUAUGAGAUAGAGUGGGAGAAGAGUGGACAGGAGUGGAAAUGUAAGAAACUUCCCCUAUAGCAUGGCUGCUUUCCUCUACAACAUGGCUACUCUCAACCAAGCCCCACUAGCCACAGAGAGGGCAAUUGGAAAGUGAUAGGUCCCCCCAUAAACUCCUGUAUCUGAACACUUGGUCCCACUUGAUGUCACGUUUAGGGAGAUUCUGGAGCCUUCCAAUGUGGAACCAUGUUGAAGGAAAUCUGAUCACUGGCUGUGGGCUGUGAAGGCUUUAAGAGCUUCUAGCCUUGUUACAUCUCCAGUUUACUGUAUUUUCUGCCUGUGGUUAGACAUGUGAUCUCUUAGUUCCCACUCUGACCACGCCUUGCCAUACUUUCUGUCCACUAUGUACUCCUCUUCUGGAACCGUAAGCCAAAAUAAAGUCUUCCUU
Mus musculus (house mouse) is the source of this 2706-nucleotide long non-coding RNA. RefSeq annotates it as predicted gene, 39777. Lineage: Eukaryota; Metazoa; Chordata; Mammalia; Rodentia; Muridae. The transcript is spliced from 3 exons. The record is from RefSeq and is a predicted model, not a curated record.